RNAcentral lists this ribosomal RNA (492 nucleotides) under uncultured bacterium. RNAcentral's name for it is "partial 16S ribosomal RNA". It matches the Rfam family "Bacterial small subunit ribosomal RNA", at positions 29 to 507 of the family's 1533-position model. The record is from RNAcentral.
AGUGAACGCUGGCGGUAGGCCUAACACAUGCAAGUCGAACGGCAGCACAGUAAGAGCUUGCUCUUACGGGUGGCGAGUGGCGGACGGGUGAGGAAUACAUCGGCAUCUACUUUUUCGUGGGGGAUAACGUAGGGAAACUUACGCUAAUACCGCAUACGACCUACGGGUGAAAGCAGGGGAUCUUCGGACCUUGCGCGAUUGAAUGAGCCGAUGUCGGAUCAGCUAGUUGGCGGGGUAAAGGCCCACCAAGGCGACGAUCCGUAGCUGGUCUGAGAGGAUGAUCAGCCACACUGGAACUGAGACACGGUCCAGACUCCUACGGGAGGCAGCAGUGGGGAAUAUUGGACAAUGGGCGCAAGCCUGAUCCAGCCAUACCGCGUGGGUGAAGAAGGCCUUCGGGUUGUAAAGCCCUUUUGUUGGGAAAGAAAAGCAGCAGGUUAAUACCCCGCUGUUCUGACGGUACCCAAUGAAUAAGCACCGGCUAACUUCGUG